GUUUGAUCCUGGCUCAGGACGAACGCUGGCGGCGUGCUUAACACAUGCAAGUCGAACGGUGAUGUCAGAGCUUGCUCUGGCGGAUCAGUGGCGAACGGGUGAGUAACACGUGAGUAACCUGCCCCCGACUCUGGGAUAACUGCUAGAAAUGGUAGCUAAUACCGGAUAUGACGAUUGGCCGCAUGGUCUGGUCGUGGAAAGAAUUUCGGUUGGGGAUGGACUCGCGGCCUAUCAGGUUGUUGGUGAGGUAAUGGCUCACCAAGCCUACGACGGGUAGCCGGCCUGAGAGGGUGACCGGCCACACUGGGACUGAGACACGGCCCAGACUCCUACGGGAGGCAGCAGUGGGGAAUAUUGCACAAUGGGCGAAAGCCUGAUGCAGCAACGCCGCGUGAGGGAUGACGGCCUUCGGGUUGUAAACCUCUUUUAGUAGGGAAGAAGCGAAAGUGAC
RNAcentral lists this ribosomal RNA (451 nucleotides) under Clavibacter michiganensis subsp. michiganensis. RNAcentral's name for it is "bacterial SSU rRNA". It matches the Rfam family "Bacterial small subunit ribosomal RNA", at positions 11 to 473 of the family's 1533-position model. Lineage: Bacteria; Bacillati; Actinomycetota; Actinomycetes; Micrococcales; Microbacteriaceae. The record is from RNAcentral.